GCAAGUCGAGCGAACGGACGAGAAGCUUGCUUCUCUGAUGUUAGCGGCGGACGGGUGAGUAACACGUGGAUAACCUACCUAUAAGACUGGGAUAACUUCGGGAAACCGGAGCUAAUACCGGAUAAUAUUUUGAACCGCAUGGUUCAAAAGUGAAAGACGGUCUUGCUGUCACUUAUAGAUGGAUCCGCGCUGCAUUAGCUAGUUGGUAAGGUAACGGCUUACCAAGGCAACGAUGCAUAGCCGACCUGAGAGGGUGAUCGGCCACACUGGAACUGAGACACGGUCCAGACUCCUACGGGAGGCAGCAGUAGGGAAUCUUCCGCAAUGGGCGAAAGCCUGACGGAGCAACGCCGCGUGAGUGAUGAAGGUCUUCGGAUCGUAAAACUCUGUUAUUAGGGAAGAACAUAUGUGUAAGUAACUGUGCACAUCUUGACGGUACCUAAUCAGAAAGCCACGGCUAACUACGUGCCAGCAGCCGCGGUAAUACGUAGGUGGCAAGCGUUAUCCGGAAUUAUUGGGCGUAAAGCGCGCGUAGGCGGUUCUUUAAGUCUGAUGUGAAAGCCCACGGCUCAACCGUGGAGGGUCAUUGGAAACUGGAAAACUUGAGUGCAGAAGGGGAAAGUGGAAUUCCAUGUGUAGCGGUGAAAUGCGCAGAGAUAUGGAGGAACACCAGUGGCGAAGGCGACUUUCUGGUCUGUAACUGACGCUGAUGUGCGAAAGCGUGGGGAUCAAAC
RNAcentral lists this ribosomal RNA (734 nucleotides) under uncultured Staphylococcus sp. RNAcentral's name for it is "bacterial SSU rRNA". It matches the Rfam family "Bacterial small subunit ribosomal RNA", at positions 57 to 773 of the family's 1533-position model. Lineage: Bacteria; Bacillati; Bacillota; Bacilli; Caryophanales; Staphylococcaceae. The record is from RNAcentral.